This 3187-nucleotide unclassified non-coding RNA is filed under the name Leishmania donovani. Its description in RNAcentral is "gene:LdHU3.36.5420(CDS-product:Snf7_putative)". Lineage: Eukaryota; Euglenozoa; Kinetoplastea; Trypanosomatida; Trypanosomatidae. The record is from RNAcentral.
CAGUCGUGCUUCGCGCUUGCUGUCCACGCGCCUUUGUCACUUAGGCAAACAUCCACCGCCCCCCUUUUUUGUCGAUCUCAUCUCUAUUUUUUCGGCCCUACUGCACAUCUUGUGCGUCUUUGCCUCUUGCUGUACGUCGCUCUUUCCGCUGCUGCCCUUGUUGCGUUCACCUGUGCUUCUCCAUCUCGCAUGGCUCCGCGCGUGUGCGCAGUUGCGUUGAAAGCACGUUUCCUUUCAGUCUUCUCUGUUGCUGCGUCUGUGAAGCGGCCUCGCGCUUGGGUUCUUUCCUUUUCUGCGUCUUGCGUGCCUCGUCUCAGCACCACGCACUAACAGGGUGCGUGCUGGGAGCUGGGUACUGCACUUGUGCGUACACAGGCACAUCCAUGCAAAUAUAUACAGCCGCAUAGACGGAAUCCCUCCUCCUCCACAGGCACACAAGCGGCCCCAGCAAAAAAAAAACAAAAGCGGAUUGCAAUCAUGUUCAAUCGCCUCUUUGGAAAAGAGAAGCAGGUGCAGCCGAGCCGCAGCAGUGGCGGCGGCAACACGAACACCGCGAAGACGAUGGAAGACAUGGACGCGGCCAUUGAGCUGCUGGAGAAGCGCGAGGCGGCACUGGAAAAGCGCAUGGAAAGCGAGCUGGCCAAGGCGAAGCAGCUGUACGCGAAGAAGAACACACAGGGCGCCCUUCAAUGCAUGAAGCGGAAGAAGAUGUACGAAGAGCAGCUCUUGAACAUCGGCGCGCAAAAGCAGAACCUAGAGACGCUCAAGUUCACUGUACAGAACCAAAGUAUGAACCACGAGGUGCUGCGAGCGCAGAUUCGCGCCAAGGAUGAGCUGAAGCGUUCCAACAAGCAAAUGAAGGCGGAAAAGAUCGAGGACAAUAUGGAUGACUUGAUGGAGGAGAUGGACAAGGCGAACCAGGUGAGCGAGGCGCUCCGCCAGCCGUUAGACAAUAACUUCGUCGAUGAGGACGAGCUAAUGAACGAGCUGGAGAUGGAGCUCGACGGCAUGAACCUCGAGGAGACUCAAGUGGCCGACGCGAAGCUGCCUGAGAUGCCCGCCGUGCCUAGCCAGAAGCUCCCGGCGCAGCCUGUCAAAACCAAGACGCAGGAAGACGAGGACGCCCUUGCAGCUCUCGAGGCGGAGCUUGCGUAAAAAGGCUCACCAGAAAGGGGGUAGAUCGGGGGAGAGGGAAGGAAGCGCGAAGCGGCCACACAGAGGAGGCUUUUGAUAGUGGUGCGCUGGAGACGCAGCGGUGUGGGCACGCAGUGCUGCUCAUACGGGCACGGUAAACAUAGUAGAGUGAGCUGCUGUGUAGUUUUGCCGUGAUGCGCACCACUUCCUGUCGCUUUCCUCGAACGACACCAGAUUUGCACACGCUUUCGCCGCAUCCGGACGGAGCGGGAGGAGGGUGCGAGGGAGUCUCGGUUGCAGGAACUCCUCAAUUUCUGUGUGACACGGCGUCUGACGGCGUGUGCGCUGCUUUUUUCUCCUCGGUGUCUCACGCGGUCACUAGCGCAGGCCUUCUUUUGCUUCUUUCCCGUCGACUACUCCCCACUGCACCUCAGCGGCGCCGUUGCCCUACCUCGAUCACCUUCACUGCGCCGACACACUCCUGGUUCCUCUCUCACCAAGCACGACCGGCGUAGUGCAUCUGCCUUUUUGUCCUUUUUUAACGCUCUAUUAUCCACCUCCUCUUCUUCCUUCCGCUCAGCUUUGAAUGAUGCAUUGGAUUCGCGCGCGUUCAGCGCAGAACAUAUCUAUGUGCGUGUGCGUGUGCGUGUGUGUGUGUGUGUGUCGGAAUGGCUGUUUUUGCUCCACUUUUGCUGUCAUUGACGUUGUUGUUGUUUUUUUUCCUCUCGUCUUUGUGCUCUGUUGGUCUAUCUCUGUCUCUCUGCCUCCGCCUCCCUUUCCUUUCUUCGUGGCUCUUCGUUGUGUGUGUAGGCGCGUGUGCGCGCCUUUCGCUUUUUCUUUUAGUCGCACCCGCUCUGUCUGCGCUAUGCCAUCCUGUUCUCUGUUGCUUCUUCCUUUUUCUUGCGCGCUCUUUGUCUGUCUUUUCACCGCUUUUUCCGUGCGUUGCCUUCCUCGUUUGCCGUCGCUUUUGCGUCGUGGCAUCGUGUCGGUUGUCUUGCGUUGUGUCUGUGCUUGCUGUGGGUGAAAGGAAAGCCCCCUGCUCGCUUGUGUUCGUCAUGCCUCAUCGGUUAUCUUUUUUGAACUGUGUGCUCGUCGGCUUUCUCUCUCUGCGAUUUUUUGCUCACUGCCCUUACGGCUCCUCCUGCUCCCUCGCGAUCUCCCCUCCCCCACACUCGCACGCAUUCACGGUUGUUAGCAGGCUGCUGGUGGACUGCUGCUUCAUCUUUUGCUUGCACCUUACGAAGCGCAUGAUGUUCGUAGUGGGGGCACAGAUGGCUUACAGGCAAAAAAAAACGAAAAGAGGACUGAAGAAGCGCAAAGGGAGCAUCUUCUGCUCUUGUCGAGGCCUCCCGCAUCCCUCUUUUUCGCUCAUGCAUGCCUUAUCGCUUUCAGCAUCAUCAUGCACCCACUCUCUUGUUUUUUUUUCCUUCAAGGGUGGAGGAUGAGAGAUGACCUCUCACGAGGCAGCCCUCCCUCCUACACCUCUCCUUCCUUCCCGCACACUCACCCGGGCGCAGCGUUUCACUGAUGUGUACGUGUGUGCGUGUGUCUUCAUUCUGUUGUAUCUGAAUGUAUGCGCUAACUUGACCAGGGGCGAGACGGCCUCUUGUCUUUUUCGCUUGCUUUAUUUUUCUGGAGAAUUCACGCAACGAAAACAGAGAGUGGGAGAGCACAAGGUCGGAUGGCUGGCGGGGUGAGGCGAAGCAGCAUCGCAAUGAAAGAAAAAAACAAGAGACACGAGAAAAGCUGGGGGAACGCGUUCGUUAGACUUUUCGAAAUCGACGCGCACCAUUCGUGACGUCUUCAUGUACUCGUGACCUGGUGACGCACCUUCCUCAAGGUGCUUCUUAUCUUUUUUUUGCCUGAUGGUGACUGAUGAUGGUGAACGCGAGGGGCGGGGGGGGGCAGUGAGACGCAGGAGACGGAAAAGAGAAAAGGGCAAUGCACACAGACGCACAAAUAAUGUGUAUAGGGGGCCAUCGUGCGCAUAUUUGGCUAUUUGUUCGCUUCUGCGCCUGUGCGCGUCUGAGUAAGUGUGCGUAAGGCGUCAUUC